Molecule: ribosomal RNA, 253 nt
Filed under: uncultured bacterium
Lineage: Bacteria
Description: partial 16S ribosomal RNA
Rfam family: Bacterial small subunit ribosomal RNA
Source: RNAcentral
UACGGAGGGGGCUAGCGUUGUUCGGAAUUACUGGGCGUAAAGCGCACGUAGGCGGCUUUGUAAGUUAGAGGUGAAAGCCCGGGGCUCAACCCCGGAAUUGCCUUUAAGACUGCAUCGCUUGAACGUCGGAGAGGUGAGUGGAAUUCCGAGUGUAGAGGUGAAAUUCGUAGAUAUUCGGAAGAACACCAGUGGCGAAGGCGGCUCACUGGACGAAUGUUGACGCUGAGGCGCGAAAGCUAGGGGAGCAAACGGG